Molecule: ribosomal RNA, 393 nt
Filed under: uncultured bacterium
Lineage: Bacteria
Description: partial 16S ribosomal RNA
Rfam family: Bacterial small subunit ribosomal RNA
Source: RNAcentral
AUACGGAGGAUGCGAGCGUUAUCCGGAUUUAUUGGGUUUAAAGGGUGCGUAGGCGGUCGGGUAAGCGUAGGGUGAAAGUCCUCUGCUCAACAGAGGAAGUGCCUUCCGAACUGUCCGACUGGAAUGCUCCUGCCGUGGGAGGAAUGUGUGGUGUAGCGGUGAAAUGCAUAGAGAUCACACAGAACACCGAUUGCGAAGGCAUCUCACGAAGGGGCUAUUGACGCUGAGGCACGAAAGCGUGGGGAUCAAACAGGAUUAGAUACCCUGGUAGUCCACGCAGUAAACGAUGAUGACUAACCGUCGGUCAAGACUGAUCGGUGGCCAAGCGAAAGCGAUAAGUCAUCCACCUGGGGAGUACGACCGCAAGGUUGAAACUCAAAGGAAUUGGCGGGG